Long non-coding RNA from Ornithodoros turicata, 3630 nucleotides. RefSeq lists it as uncharacterized. The transcript has 7 exons. The record is from RefSeq and is a predicted model, not a curated record. Lineage: Eukaryota; Metazoa; Arthropoda; Arachnida; Ixodida; Argasidae.
UCAUGUUGUUGAGCCAGCGUGGUCUGCGUGGCGUCGUUGUACGCGUUUCAGAUUUCCAGACUGCAACGAGCUUAUGUGGAAAGACACCGGGACCAAGGGAAACGAUGUGGCCUCCGUUGAUUUCCAGACUGCAACGUACUUAUGAGGAAAGGCAUCGGGAUCGAGGGAAAUGAUUCAGCCUCCGUUGGGUGCUUAGGGUGAACCUUAGGCAGGCAACUGUUUUGCUACAGCGAAUAAAAAAAAAACAUUGCAGGUUGGAUGACAUAUGUCAUGAGAAGGGUCUUGGAAAACGGAAUGCAGAUAACGGAAAAACUCAUAGACGUUCAGUUCAUCAUUCGUACAGCGAGGUUGAAGAUACAGGCAGUUCGUUAGCUCGUUGCUUGAGCUUUAUAACAUAUGUACGCAUGCAUAUGUCCACAUUGUUUCAUUGCUUGCUAUGAGGCUGUGCUUUGAAAAUGUUUCAAAAGAUUCGUUUGCUCCGCCUUUUGUGUGGGCGGAAGCAGUUUUCGUUUUUCGUUGGAAGCUCGCAGGUCCCCGUGGAUGCUGCUGGUGCUCCAAAUGACAUACGGAGAUAACUCGAGGGCACAAGGUUGAAGAGACUGACGCGGGAAUCGAGCAUAAUGUCUUAUUGUUAACAUAUUUCCUGAGCUGCCUUAUGGAACAUAUCGUGCGUCUCCGAUCACUAUAUCUAAAGGUGUUCCCGGCAAUCCGUGUGUCUGCUGGCGUUUCGUGUGGACGAGGCUGCUACUAAUCCACAGUGAAGAGUCACAGUGCACCGCCUCUGCCGAACUCUUAUGUGUGACAACGGAGUUUGCGUUCCGUGCAAGACUCUAUCGACACCGAACUUCACGUUGUGAUAUUGAUAACUGAACAGGAAAAAAGUGCCUGUCGUGUGCGCAUGUGUUUUUUGUUCCUGCUCAUCCGCCCGUGUUCCCGCUCCAACCGUUCGAACGCAGUAGUCUUGGGUAACCACUGUAAAGUAUGUUUGAAAUAAGUCUACAUUCGUUUUGAAUGUGGCAGUAUUUGUGGGAAUCCCAUGCACAGAUAACGUCAUACUGGAAAAUGAAGUGAAUUUGGUUUGAACAUUGUUGCCAGCCGGGCGGGGAAGCCUUACGUGGUAGAUGGGGUAAGGUGGUACAUAGCAUGGGAGAGCGUGUGAAAGGUCCAUAUCAUUUCAAACAGCUCCUUGCCAGCCCUUUCCCCAGAAAUCGACAUAUUUCCAGGGUUGUUCGCAUAUAUUAUUUUGCCGUGACAGUCGGCAGUGGACCCGCAAAUAUACACGGGGAGGAUCAACCGGAAAAUCUCCUCUUCGGCUCACGUGACUAUUACGUGACGUUUGUCAACGUUCCUCUCCGACACCUACUGUUCAAGUGCUCUCUACAACGGGACGCAAAGAGUUCAGCAUUUUCACAUUCGCGUCGUAUCUCCGCAGCUCACUAGCGAACCACCCUCGGCGCGCACCAAAACAGAACCACGUGGGCAGCAUAAACGACCAAAGCUGGGCUUGGAGUGGGGCCGACGAGAUCGCGCGGUGUCCCCACUGGUGCCCUUACUGGCACCCACUCCUGCGCUAUCUAUUGCACACGGAGAUACCGGCACACCCAAGGUCAUCGGAGCUACAGCGCAUCCGCAUAAGCAGUUAUGAAAAAGGUCCAUUCUGCACCAGGGGAGAAGUCACUCGCCAAGGCCGCGCCCACAUUUCCCCACUCUGCCCUCAUGCAUGCCGCUUUCUGCUCGCGAAUUUCAAAGCAUGUGGAUUCCAGUGAUUUAUAAUGCCGGUAAUAAACUAUAGAGCUCGAAGAGUUGACGGAAAGUACAGGAGGGAUUCGGUAAAUCAGGGGCUACACCACCGGUGGAAACAUAUAGCUACGCAUUGAUGCUUGCUUGGAGAGCAAACCAUCCGUUUAAAGGGGCUCUGACCAGAAGUUGAGGGGGCUCUGUCGUACUUGCAGUCGAUAAAGCACCCUCCAUGCGAAAAUUCACGCAUUAAAACCCCACGGUUUCUCUAAACUCGAAUUUUAAACAUUCGACUUCCUCAGAGUGCAGCGCGCCUAUGCGUCAAACCGAGAGAACAUACGUUUACAUAGGAUAUCCACCCCAGCGAACCAUCAAAAUCACGUAAACAUGAGGGCCACUGGCAACACCCACAAUUGGCUCAAACGCAUCACGUGGUCACGCAAUACCCUGUCAAUUCCCUUUAUGAAAUAGCGUUUAUGUGUUAACAUGUUUUUGUUACGGAGUCUCAAAAGGAAAAAUAUACCCUUCAUUUAACACGUGCAGUAGGUUCUACGAUUGCCUUUUCAAUGUGCGUUCUGUUGUCUUGCGUUCCAUAUUGUUCCGUAUCUGGUCAACUGUAAUGGCUGCCAUAUGACGAGCUUGCGAACUUGUGUAAUUCCCGGCUCAUCCUGCCUUUUUCUGGUCAUUGGGUUGGUGUUGGAGUUGUUCGCCAUAUUCUGAACGUUUCACCUAUCAUUGCGGCGUACUGUUCUUGACCUGCUGCGAAGCAAAGAACCAAAGCAAAGAAGGCAGUCACUCGCCUCAGCGAAAUUCUGUCUGCCGCAUAUCAAAGGAGCCUCGGGACCUGAUGAUGUACUGCAAAUGCUGAAAUUGAAUUCUUUGAACCUUCAUCUAAAGAAACCAAGUGUGCUCUCGUGUGGUUCUGACGAAAAAGCAGUUUCAACGAGGUUAGCACAUUUCUUUUUGAGUUCCAAGUCUACGCACUCAAAACCAUGCAAGUGCAUCCGAUCAUUCUCGUAGCUGUUCUGUAACACGUAUGCUUUCUUACGUAUCCCACAGAGCCCUCCGCUUCAUGAACCCAGUUAUAUUUUAUAUGAUCCUUCUGAUGGCCCCUUUAGGCUAUGCCGCUCUGAAGCAUUGAGAUGACGAAAGUUCGUGGGGGCUGCACCUCUGCUUUCGAAAGAUGAACCAGUCAUUCCACACUGUGCUUACUGGCUUUGUAUUGAGUGUGACAAAUCCGACAGACCUGGACUGCCUUUUUCAAGGAAGUUCGAAAUGCAAGACAUCCCUUAUGCACCUGCAUUUCAAUUAAGAUCUGUGUUACAAGAAUGACAGACCACUCAACAGCGAUGAACAUUUGAAGUCGGAAGUGCUGGAACGAAGAUGCGUUAAUCUGUGUGAAAGGUGCUUUGUACGUGUCUGAGUCGAGGGCAUAGGUCACAAGCUAAUUUCUGUCUUCAGAAGAGGUGUCAACUAUGCUCCUUCUAUCUACUAACCAGCUCCACUUUUUAGGGUUCCCUGUAAACUAAUGGAGCGCAUCAUAUACCAACACGUUAUUAACCAUGUUGAGUCUAUCAAUUAUUUUUUUAAAAUUCCAGCAUGACUUUAGAAAAGGGUAUUUAGGCAAAACAAACAUAAUUCGAUCACAGCAUUUUAAACUGUCUUGAUUUCUCGGUCCACGUAGAUGCAGUAUUUUUUUUAUUUUGUAAGGGCUUUUCACACUGUGCUUUAUGCUCACUUGUUGGCCACACUAGCCUCAUUAAAAUUUGAUCCUGCUACCAUUAACUGGAUAUGCAGUUUCUUGACUAACCCAAACCGUGCCAACAAUUCGUGAGUAGAACCUAUUAUUUCAACACCAUGCAGCGUUUGCCACGUUACAUUUGCAUCACAUUU